GACAGUUUGGCCGAGUGGUCUAAGGCGCUGGCUUAAGUCGCCAGUCCGAAAGGGCGUGGGUUCGAAUCCCACAGCUGUCA
This 80-nucleotide transfer RNA is filed under the name Perkinsus marinus ATCC 50983. It matches the Rfam family "tRNA". Rfam says of the family: Transfer RNA (tRNA) molecules are approximately 80 nucleotides in length. Lineage: Eukaryota; Perkinsozoa; Perkinsida; Perkinsidae. The record is from Rfam by way of RNAcentral.